UGCGCAGGCGGCUCCUUAAGUCAGAUGUGAAAGCCCCGGGCUUAACCUGGGAACUGCGUUUGAAACUGGGGAGCUGGAGUGUAAAAGAGGGGGUGGAAUUCCAGGUGUAGCAGUGAAAUGCGUAGAGAUCUGGAGGAACACCGAUGGCGAAGGCAGCCCCCUGGGCUAACACUGACGCUCAUGCACGAAAGCGUGGGAGCAAACA
RNAcentral lists this ribosomal RNA (205 nucleotides) under uncultured bacterium. RNAcentral describes it as "partial 16S ribosomal RNA". It matches the Rfam family "Bacterial small subunit ribosomal RNA", at positions 568 to 774 of the family's 1533-position model. The record is from RNAcentral.